UACGUAGGUGGCGAGCGUUAUCCGGAAUUAUUGGGCGUAAAGAGCGCGCAGGUGGUUGAUUAAGUCUGAUGUGAAAGCCCACGGCUUAACCGUGGAGGGUCAUUGGAAACUGGUCGACUUGAGUGCAGAAGAGGGAAGUGGAAUUCCAUGUGUAGCGGUGAAAUGCGUAGAGAUAUGGAGGAACACCAGUGGCGAAGGCGACUUUCUGGACUUAUACUGACGCUGAGGAACGAAAGCGUGGAUAGCAAACAGGAUUAGAUA
Molecule: ribosomal RNA, 261 nt
Filed under: uncultured prokaryote
Description: partial 16S ribosomal RNA
Rfam family: Bacterial small subunit ribosomal RNA
Source: RNAcentral